This 410-nucleotide ribosomal RNA is filed under the name uncultured bacterium. RNAcentral's name for it is "bacterial SSU rRNA". It matches the Rfam family "Bacterial small subunit ribosomal RNA", at positions 541 to 949 of the family's 1533-position model. The record is from RNAcentral.
UUGUCCGGAAUGACUGGGCGUAAAGGGAGUGUAGGCGGCAUAGCAAGUUAGAUGUGAAAGCCCGCAGCUUAACUGCGGAACUGCAUCUAAAACUGUUAAGCUUGAGUGCAGGAGAGGUAAGUGGAAUUCCUAGUGUAGCGGUGGAAUGCGUAGAUAUCAGGAGGAACAUCAGAGGCGAAGGCGACUUACUGGACUGUAACUGACGCUGAGGCUCGAAAGCGUGGGGAGCAAACAGGAUUAGAUACCCUGGUAGUCCACGCCCUAAACGAUGGAUACUAGACGAGGCGGAACACAAAGUCUGCCGUGUCGAAGCAAACGCGAUAAGUAUCCCGCCUGAGGAGUACGGCCGCAAGGUUGAAACUCAAAGAAAUUGACGGGGACCCGCACAAGCAGCGGAGCAUGUGGUUUAA